RNAcentral lists this unclassified non-coding RNA (641 nucleotides) under Hevea brasiliensis (rubber tree). The record is from RNAcentral. Lineage: Eukaryota; Viridiplantae; Streptophyta; Magnoliopsida; Malpighiales; Euphorbiaceae.
CCUAUAACAGUUCUAUUUCAAUAAUAUGCAAUUCUGAAUUCCCUUCCUCACAAGCCAAACAAAAUUCUCGAUUUUUCGCUGAAAGGGAGCGGGUUAAGGAGGCUGUUAACUCGGGUUAACUCAAAAUGCUGGAGCGGUGUCUCGGGACUCACCGAGUCCUUAGGAUUCAGAGAGCGAUUCGCCGCGGAAAAGUUACCCUCUUUUGCCUCUUCAUGACCUUUAUUGUCUUACGUGGUUCCAUCGGAGCCGGCAAGUUUGGUACUCCAGAGCAGGACUUCAAUGACCUCCGCGACCACUUCUAUGCCUCCCGCAAGCACGCUGAGCCCCACCGAGUCCUCGUCGAAGCCCAACCCGCCACCCAACCCGCCACCGAGUCAACUCAAAAUAACGAUAAUAAUAACAACGAUCCGAACAAUUAUGCUACAUUUGAUAUCAAUAAGAUCUUGGUGGAUGAGGGGCAGGACGAGAAGCCAGAUCCGAACAAACCAUUUAGUCUCGGCCCGAAGAUUUCGGAUUGGGACGAGCAGAGAGCUGAGUGGUUGAGAAAAAACCCUAAUUUUCCCAAUUUUAUUGGACCAAAUAAGCCGAGAGUUCUUUUGGUGACGGGUUCUUCGCCUAAACCUUGUGAGAAUCCAGUCGGG